RNAcentral lists this signal recognition particle RNA (314 nucleotides) under Halogranum amylolyticum. RNAcentral's name for it is "Archaeal signal recognition particle RNA". It matches the Rfam family "Archaeal signal recognition particle RNA". Lineage: Archaea; Methanobacteriati; Methanobacteriota; Halobacteria; Halobacteriales; Haloferacaceae. The record is from RNAcentral.
AAGUGGACUAGGUCGGGCAGUUAGGCCCUGCUCACUUCCCGCAAUAGAGUCUUUAGCGGGGACCGAACGACGGGCGCGUCCGGUCUGACCGGCACGGGCCCCGAAAGCCAACGUAGAAACCUCGUCCUGCGGGGACAGCGGCUCGACGAAACACGUCCGCAGGGACGUCGACUCGUCGUUCAUCGGUGGCACUGGGUCAGGCGCGGAAGCGAGCAGCCCACCGCCGGACGUGCGUCGCUCGUAGGGUCGCGGGGUGGAGGAGGCAACCGGGAUUACCCGUGCCGGAACGCCGGGCAACCCCGUCCUGUCCGCAU